Long non-coding RNA from Passer domesticus (house sparrow), 3718 nucleotides. RefSeq lists it as uncharacterized. NCBI's taxonomy places the organism in Eukaryota, Metazoa, Chordata, Aves, Passeriformes, Passeridae. The record is from RefSeq and is a predicted model, not a curated record. The transcript has 3 exons.
AACUUGCCUUGGACUAACUCUGGGUGCCGCCGGGAAGACGUCUGCCUUUGCGCUCCAUUUUAGGCGGCGGCGGGCAGGGGAGCCCGGGCGGAGAUUUGCAGGAGGGCUGCUCUUCCCUGUGUCAGCAGCCCCGGGAGAGGGAGGGGUUCUCCUUGCUCAGCCCUGGCUCCUCACAGCAGCCUCUUUUGGACCCAGAGUGGCCGAGGAAGGAGGCGAGCCCAGCGCACUCCAGCCUGUGCCGCGCAUUUCUGGGUCAGACAUCCUCGCGGGGAAAUGGCUUUAUUUAGACAGAGUAGGUGGUGAUGAGAUAUGGUGUGCUGGGCCAGCAGGAUUACAAUGCAUGCGGCUUGGGCCUUUGAACAGGCAGGAGAAUCCAAACUCCAGGCCUCGUCUGACAGCACAUCCCUGUGCCAAAAAGGCCAAAGGAGUUGUAAUUGCUGUCAGAAUUGAGCUUUCAGCAGGCCCCUGAGAGGAGAGACAGUGAAGAAAAAAACAAUCCUUCUUUUUCUUGGCCCCCAAAAUGCCUGUAAACUUUGACCUGCUGACAGAGAAAGGUAGUGGUGGAAAGGGCGUGCUGUGGAGUCAUGACCUCUGCUAAUGGACCUCCUGCUUGUGAAGCUGUUCAGUACUGCCACCUGCUCUCCCCAGAGAAAUGUCACAGAGAUAUGAUUGCCCCAGCUCUUUGGAGAGAGAUUGGUGAAGGCCUGGACAAAAACACCCCAGAACUGCAAAUACUGAUGUAAUAUCAGCACUCAACAGCCUUUGAUACUGCACACAGAAGCAUGAUGUUACUGAUCAAUCAUGAUAUCAUGAUGAGUCGUGGUAUCAGUACCUCACUUCCUCCAUGUUACUCUCCAUUCCAAUGGCUAAUGUGAGGCAAAAAGCCACUGAAUGCAGGGUUCAUUUGAUGCAUCAAGAGGCCACCUAGAACAGAGGUUGGACAGUAUUAAAGGAAUAAAGUAGGUAUUUAUUAAAAAGAUCUUUAGAGGAUACACCUUGGGCAGUACAAGAGCCUGGCAGUGGCUCCACCCAAGCUGGAGGAUGGAUCACAUCUUUUCACACUUUUAUAAGUCUUGGUUCAUUUACAUAUUGGGGUUAAUUGUCCAAUUACAGCUUCAGGUUAUGAAGUCCCAUCCUCCCAGAUUGCUCUCAUCAAUUUGCUGUUAUUUAUACCUUUUGGGCCUGAAGCUGCAAUGGUGUCCUUGGUUGUCAGGCUGGAAAAGAAUUGUUUUGUCUAAUUACCCUGUGAAGAGAACUUGCUAACACUUUCUAUGAAGUUCAGAGUUAUAUACUAAUGCAGUACAGACUCUGGAAAAUAUGAAAGUUAAAACUUAAGGCAUCACACUCAAGUGGAUUUUUUGGCUCACCUGCAAGGUCUCAGAGGAAUCAAUUGAGGGCCUAGAGGUCAGUGCCUUCACAGGGCUGAAGCAACCCUUCCAUCUCAGUGAACAGUCUUCUCCUAACUCUUAGCCUGCCUAAAUUUAUGUUCUGGGCUUGAAAUAAUGUCAUUGUGCAUGAGAGCUUUCAGGCAGUCUGAACGAUGAAAUCAGCCCCCUGUUGAUAGAUGUGUGGUGAAGGAACUCCUUGAUAUUUGCUCGUUCCUUCUGUGUCUCAAAGCAGACAGUUCAUAAUGCCCAGAGUUAAAUGUAACUAGAUAACUGAAUGGCUUACACUGCUCUUCCAAUCCCAUUGCUAAGAAACAUCUAGAAGCCCAUCAAAGGAGGUGGCUGCCUGUCUAAGCAUGGGAAGAGAGUUUCAGAUUAGUAAAAUCAGAACCUAGAAAGCCAAACUGGAAAAACUGUUACAGAAGAAGAACCAUUCCAGAAACCUUCCAAGUCUGGACUUGUGUCCCCUUCCUAAAGAGCUGUGGCACCUCCACUGGCAAUCCCAAAUGUACACCAUGGCUAUCUUCACAUAAGGAAGAUGUUACUUCUUAUUAAGGAGCUUACUUAGCUAAGUAAGCCCCUCAGGUACUGAGAUCUGCAUCAGUAAAAACCAGAAUAGUGAUCCUAGCUGAAGACUGGCUGCUUAGACCCUAGCUGAAGACUGACAGCUCAAUGAACACAUGGUUUAAGACCCCUGCUACUCUGCACUGAUUUGAACUUUCUUUGUAAAUUCAAAUACCAUGUAUUCCAAAAGUGUCAAAUACAUGAACAAUUGUGCCAUGUCAGGAAGGAAAAGUUGUAUGCACUGUAUUUGCCAGAUACAAAUGAAACCAUUAUUCUUGAUCACAGACACUACCUUGUGAGUUAGGUUUAGCCUAGAAUUUAGCAGGGUGUUAAGGCAGCCCUAGAUCUGCAGCUGAAAAAAGUUUUACCAGUUCUUCUCCCUCAUCUGAGCAUUUGGUUUUAUGUAAUUAAAUAUGCCAACAGAAAAAAAAAUAGUCUUUUGUCAGAUUGACAGCUAAGCUGACUUGAGACCUUAACCUCAAGUGUGUUCAAAGCUGAAAAUCCAAUCUGGCUGACAUUUUGUCCUUUAACACAUGUUGUUGUAAUCCCAAAUUAAAGGCUGCCCUUAUACUGUACCAAACUAAAUCACACAUAUUUCAGAAACUUUGGCAUGUAAAGGAAGCACAGUGCUACAUAAAGAUGGUGUCAGACCAAAUUUUCAGCCUUCUUUGUUGGUGUUUUGGAUUUUUCUCAGACCUUCAAGGUUAUAUACAUUUCAUGGUUUAAUUUCUGUUAUUCCCUAAGGCACUGGUGCAUAUUUACCCACUAACAAAAAUAAUUUCUUUGAAACAUAGUAAUUUAUAAUAGGCAUAUUAUGAUCCUUUCAGUUUUACUGUGAUCUAAUCACCAGGCACGUAUUUAGGAAAUAUAAAAUCCUUUCAAGACUUUUACCUUGAGACAUACUAAGAAUGCACAAUGCACAAACACACAUUCAUAACAGUUCCCAGUUUGGUAAGAUGAUCCAUUCUCCAAAGCCAUAUACAUAUUAAAAAAAAAGUUAACUGAACAUUAACUACCUUUCAAACCUUAAUUGCACAACUUGCUUAAAACAGAAGAUUUUGCAAAAAUUUUUUUUGUAAAUUAAAGGCAUGUUUAAAUUGCAGACGUAGAGAGAAAUGGAAAAAGUCACUUUUGGUUGGAUUGUCACUUUAGUAUGAUUUUAUCUUUAUGGAUUAGUGUCAGAAUCUAAAUACAACUCAAAUAAUGGUGUUUUCUAUCCACUGAUGGCCGAACUUCAAGAGUUUUACCUCGAAUUAAGAAGAAUGCCCUACCACCAUAUCCUGUAUCAAAACCCCUUUUUAGUGGUUUGGUUGUUUUUCCUGCAAGUGCGGUGAACUCUCAAGCAGCUCCCAACCCCUGUGCAGUGGAGCUGCAUCAGAGAACAAAGUCCUGGCACACCACACCAUUUUUGCUGGCAGGAGACUUUCUCUAGUAGUGUUACUCCAGCCUGAAUGUUCCCUGUUCCUGCUAAGGGAUUAACAAUGAUAAAUAACUAACUAGAGUAGGGCAAGGAGGUGACAAGAGUUGGAAAAUUUGGUAAAAUGAUAAUAUAUCAGUUUGAUAUGAUGGAUGGCUUUAUUCAGUUAUUUCACGUCAUGGGAUACAAACUUGAUUCUUCAGUGGAUGAACUUGAGCUGUGACUAGCGUGAGGCAGAGAAACUUUGUGACUGCAAUGAGUAUACUUAUGAGUAUGCUAAUAAAAUAUGUGCUCCCAACAUUUCCUUAGUAAAAGAACCUCUUUCACCAACAUCUCAUAAUUAACCAAUACU